Molecule: ribosomal RNA, 440 nt
Filed under: uncultured bacterium
Lineage: Bacteria
Description: bacterial SSU rRNA
Rfam family: Bacterial small subunit ribosomal RNA
Source: RNAcentral
UACGGAAGGCAGCAGUGGGGAAUAUUGCACAAUGGGCGCAAGCCUGAUGCAGCCAUGCCGCGUGUAUGAAGAAGGCCUUCGGGUUGUAAAGUACUUUCAGUCGUGAGGAAGGUGUUAAGGUUAAUAACCUUAGCAAUUGACGUUAGCGACAGAAGAAGCACCGGCUAACUCCGUGCCAGCAGCCGCGGUAAUACGGAGGGUGCGAGCGUUAAUCGGAAUUACUGGGCGUAAAGGGCACGCAGGCGGUUAAUUAAGUUGGAUGUGAAAUCCCCGGGCUUAACCUGGGAAUGGCAUUCAAGCUGGUUAGCUAGAGUCUUGUAGAGGGGGUAGAAUUCCGAUGUGUAGCGGUGAAAUGCGUAGAGAUGUGGAGGAAUACCGGUGGCGAAGGCGGCCCCUGGGACAAAGACUGACGCUCAUGUGCGAGGCGUGGGGAGCGAAAC